Molecule: ribosomal RNA, 460 nt
Filed under: uncultured bacterium
Lineage: Bacteria
Description: partial 16S ribosomal RNA
Rfam family: Bacterial small subunit ribosomal RNA
Source: RNAcentral
CCUACGGGGGGCAGCAGUGAGGAAUAUUGGUCAAUGGGCGCGAGCCUGAACCAGCCAAGUAGCGUGAAGGAUGACUGCCCUACGGGUUGUAAACUUCUUUUAUAAAGGCAUAAAGUGAGGCACGUGUGCAUUUUUGUAUGUACUUUAUGAAUAAGGAUCGGCUAACUCCGUGCCAGCAGCCGCGGUAAUACGGAGGAUCCGAGCGUUAUCCGGAUUUAUUGGGUUUAAAGGGAGCGUAGAUGGGUUGUUAAGUCAGUUGUGAAAGUUUGCGGCUCAACCGUAAAAUUGCAAUUGAUACUGGCAGCCUUGAGUGCAGUUGAGGUAGGCGGAAUUCGUGGUGUAGCGGUGAAAUGCUUAGAUAUGACGAAGAACUCCGAUUGCGAAGGCAGCCUACUAAACUGCCACUGACAUUGAUGCACGAAAGUGUGGGUAGCAAACAGGAUUAGAUACCCUUGUAGUC